GGUGAGAUGGCCGAGCGGUCUAAGGCGCCAGACUAAGGAUCAGGAUAUUUCAUGUCCACAGCGGGUUUCUACUCUGCAAUCUGGUCCGAAAGGGCGUGGGUUCGAAUCCCACUCUCAUCA
Molecule: non-coding RNA, 120 nt
Organism: Gymnopilus junonius
Lineage: Eukaryota; Fungi; Basidiomycota; Agaricomycetes; Agaricales; Galerinaceae
Source: the annotation of a GenBank genome assembly